UUAAACUAAGCUGAAAGCGUUUCAUUGUUACUGAAAAAAUAGAAAGUUUAAA
RNAcentral lists this transfer RNA (52 nucleotides) under Rhinotergum shaoguanense. RNAcentral's name for it is "tRNA-Asn". The record is from RNAcentral. Lineage: Eukaryota; Metazoa; Arthropoda; Arachnida; Trombidiformes; Diptilomiopidae.